ACAUUGUGCUUGCACAGAUGACGACCGGCGCACGGGUGCGUAACGCGUAUAGAACCUACCUUUUACAGAGGAAUAGCCUUUAGAAAUGAAGAUUAAUGCCUCAUAGUAUUGUAGACUGGCAUCAGUUUAUAAUUAAAGAUUUAUCGGUAAAAGAUGGCUAUGCGUCCUAUUAGUUAGUUGGUAAGGUAACGGCUUACCAAGACAGCGAUAGGUAGGGGUCCUGAGAGGGAGAUCCCCCACACUGGUACUGAGACACGGACCAGACUCCUACGGGAGGCAGCAGUGAGGAAUAUUGGACAAUGGAGGAGACUCUGAUCCAGCCAUGCCGCGUGUAGGAAGAAUGCCCUAUGGGUUGUAAACUACUUUUAUACAGGAAGAAACACUGGUAUGUAUA
This 394-nucleotide ribosomal RNA is filed under the name uncultured Polaribacter sp. RNAcentral describes it as "bacterial SSU rRNA". It matches the Rfam family "Bacterial small subunit ribosomal RNA", at positions 71 to 464 of the family's 1533-position model. Lineage: Bacteria; Pseudomonadati; Bacteroidota; Flavobacteriia; Flavobacteriales; Flavobacteriaceae. The record is from RNAcentral.